Long non-coding RNA from Camellia sinensis, 842 nucleotides. RefSeq lists it as uncharacterized. Lineage: Eukaryota; Viridiplantae; Streptophyta; Magnoliopsida; Ericales; Theaceae. The record is from RefSeq and is a predicted model, not a curated record.
GAAAUUUUUUGUAAAUAAUUUCAAAAUUAUAUAGAGUAGCCCUCCUAAUUUUUUAAACUAUACAAUAGCCCCCCAAAGAUAUAAUCCUGUAUCUGUCCCGGACUAUUGGUGCAGGUGUGAUGCCGAGGCCGUUGGAGUCCGGAUCCUCUCUAGCCAAAGCCUCCGGCCCUUCCUCCGGUCAAGGGCCACGAUUUGGCCACGUCGCUUAAAUGAAGAUCUACAGCUCAGAUGCAACAAAAAAAAAAGAAAAAAAAAAAGUGAAUUUCUUUCAUUCAACCCAGCAGCAGCAUCCCUCCUAUUCACGAGUCCGUUUUCCCUCCCUCUUCGAAGUUCUUUUUCCCUCCCUCAUUGAAGCUCUGGCGAAGGACGAUUGGCGAAGUCGACGGCAAACAUCGACGAUGAUCGGUGGCGAAUCGAAGUCGGCGGCGAACAUCAACGGUGAAACAAGCUCUGGCGACCCUACGAACCAGAGCUGCACUUCAUCAUCAAACUGAAGGCAAACAAUUUGGCAUAUUGUGGUCAACCAAAAUUUAUGACAAUACUUCAAGGUGGGUAUGACAUUGGGUUUCAAGAUUCUCAAGGCUCACAGACAGGUUCUCGACCAACAAAUAAUUUGCUGCUAUGUACUGAGGGUUUGGAUGUCCGUGAAGAGGUGGAAGGCACUUCAAAUUUCAUGCAUAGGAGAUGCCUCUGAUAUGCAACAACAACACACCAUCUAUUAUGCAUCUAUUAUGUUUUUGUAGUAAAGCUUUGUGGUGACUUCAAAUUUCAUGCUGAAUUUUUGUAGUGACUAUUAUGAAUGAAUUUUAAUUGAGAUGAGAUUUGCAUGAAUGGUGAAACUG